This 77-nucleotide transfer RNA is filed under the name Candidatus Omnitrophota bacterium. RNAcentral describes it as "tRNA-Met". It matches the Rfam family "tRNA". Rfam says of the family: Transfer RNA (tRNA) molecules are approximately 80 nucleotides in length. Their secondary structure includes four short double-helical elements and three loops (D, anti-codon, and T loops). Lineage: Bacteria; Pseudomonadati; Candidatus Omnitrophota. The record is from RNAcentral.
GGCGAGGUAGCUCAGCUGGUUAGAGCACGCGGCUCAUACCCGCGGCGUCGACGGUUCGAAUCCGUCCCUCGCUACCA